RNAcentral lists this ribosomal RNA (380 nucleotides) under uncultured bacterium. RNAcentral describes it as "bacterial SSU rRNA". It matches the Rfam family "Bacterial small subunit ribosomal RNA", at positions 29 to 410 of the family's 1533-position model. The record is from RNAcentral.
AUUGAACGCUGGCGGCAUGCCUUACACAUGCAAGUCGAACGGCAGCACGGGAGCAAUCCUGGUGGCGAGUGGCGAACGGGUGAGUAAUACAUCGGAACGUGCCCAGUAGUGGGGGAUAACCCGGCGAAAGCCGGACUAAUACCGCAUACGACCUACGGGUGAAAGCAGGGGAUCGCAAGACCUUGCGCUAUCGGAGCGGCCGAUGUCAGAUUAGCUUGUUGGCGGGGUAAAAGCCCACCAAGGCGACGAUCUGUAGCUGGUCUGAGAGGACGACCAGCCACACUGGGACUGAGACACGGCCCAGACUCCUACGGGAGGCAGCAGUGGGGAAUUUUGGACAAUGGGCGCAAGCCUGAUCCAGCCAUGCCGCGUGCGGGAAG